RNAcentral lists this ribosomal RNA (253 nucleotides) under uncultured bacterium. Its description in RNAcentral is "partial 16S ribosomal RNA". It matches the Rfam family "Bacterial small subunit ribosomal RNA", at positions 524 to 776 of the family's 1533-position model. The record is from RNAcentral.
UACGUAGGGUGCGAGCGUUGUCCGGAAUUACUGGGCGUAAAGAGCUCGUAGGUGGUUUGUCGCGUUGUUCGUGAAAACCGGGGGCUUAACCCUCGGCGUGCGGGCGAUACGGGCAGACUGGAGUACUGCAGGGGAGACUGGAAUUCCUGGUGUAGCGGUGGAAUGCGCAGAUAUCAGGAGGAACACCGGUGGCGAAGGCGGGUCCCUGGGCAGUAACUGACGCUGAGGAGCGAAAGCGUGGGGAGCGAACAGG